Molecule: long non-coding RNA, 172 nt
Organism: Dermochelys coriacea (leatherback sea turtle)
Lineage: Eukaryota; Metazoa; Chordata; Testudines; Dermochelyidae
Exons: 3
Source: RefSeq, a predicted model, not a curated record
UCUUGCGAUCUGAUUAAGUCCCUGUGAUACUAUUCUUCCUAAUGACCGCCCGUCGCUACUACUGAUUGGAUGGUUUAGUGAGGUCCUCGGAUCGGCCCUGCCGGGGUCGGUCACGGCCCUGGUGGAGCGCCGAGAAGACGGUCAAACUUGACUAUCUAGAGGAAGUAAAAGU